GGCGAGUGAAGCGGCAAAAGCUCAAAUUUGAAAUCUGGUACCUUUGGUGCCCGAGUUGUAAUUUGGAGAGUACCACUUUGGGACUGUACUUUGCCUAUGUUCCUUGGAACAGGACGUCAUGGAGGGUGAGAAUCCCGUGUGGCGAGGGUGUCAGUUCUUUGUAAAGGGUGCUCGAAGAGUCGAGUUGUUUGGGAAUGCAGCUCUAAGUGGGUGGUAAAUUCCAUCUAAAGCUAAAUACAGGCGAGAGACCGAUAGCGAACAAGUACAGUGAUGGAAAGAUGAAAAGAACUUUGAAAAGAGAGUGAAAAAGUACGUGAAAUUGUUGAAAGGGAAGGGCAUUUGAUCAGACAUGGUGUUUUGCGCCCCUUGCCUCUCGUGGGCUUGGGACUCUCGCAGCUCACUGGGCCAGCAUCGGUUUUGGCGGCCGGAAAAAACCUAGGGAAUGUGGCUCUGCGCCUCGGUGUAGAGUGUUAUAGCCCUGGGGAAUACGGCCAGCCGGGACCGAGGACUGCGAUACUUGUUAUCUAGGAUGCUGGCAUAAUGGUUAUAUGCCGCCCGUC
Molecule: ribosomal RNA, 560 nt
Filed under: Nakaseomyces glabratus
Lineage: Eukaryota; Fungi; Ascomycota; Saccharomycetes; Saccharomycetales; Saccharomycetaceae
Description: [Candida] glabrata partial large subunit ribosomal RNA
Rfam family: Eukaryotic large subunit ribosomal RNA
Source: RNAcentral